AUGCACGCUGGCGGCGUGCCUAAUACCUGCCAGUCGAGCGAACAGACGAGGAGCUUGCUCCUCUAACGUUAGCGGCGGACGGGUGAGUAACACGUGGAUAACCUACCUAUAAGACUGGGAUAACUUCGGGAAACCGGAGCUAAUACCGGAUAAUAUAUUGAACCGCAUGGUUCAAUAGUGAAAGACGGUUUUGCUGUCACUUAUAGAUGGAUCCGCGCCGCAUUAGCUAGUUGGUAAGGUAACAGCUUACCAAGGCAACGAUGCGUAGCCGACCUGAGAGGGUGAUCGGCCACACUGGAACUGAGACACGGUCCAGACUCCUACGGGAGGCAGCAGUAGGGAAUCUUCCGCAAUGGGCGAAAGCCUGACGGAGCAACGCCGCGUGAGUGAUGAAGGUCUUCGGAUCGUAAAACUCUGUUAUUAGGGAAGAACAAAUGUGUAAGUAACUAUGCACGUCUUGACGGUACCUAAUCAGAAAGCCACGGCUAACUACGUG
RNAcentral lists this ribosomal RNA (496 nucleotides) under uncultured bacterium. RNAcentral describes it as "partial 16S ribosomal RNA". It matches the Rfam family "Bacterial small subunit ribosomal RNA", at positions 29 to 507 of the family's 1533-position model. The record is from RNAcentral.